AUUGAACGCUGGCGGCAGGCUUAACACAUGCAAGUCGAGCGGUAGCACAAGAGAGCUUGCUCUCUGGGUGACGAGCGGCGGACGGGUGAGUAAUGUCUGGGAAACUGCCUGAUGGAGGGGGAUAACUACUGGAAACGGUAGCUAAUACCGCAUAACGUCGCAAGACCAAAGAGGGGGACCUUCGGGCCUCUUGCCAUCAGAUGUGCCCAGAUGGGAUUAGCUAGUAGGUGGGGUAAUGGCUCACCUAGGCGACGAUCCCUAGCUGGUCUGAGAGGAUGACCAGCCACACUGGAACUGAGACACGGUCCAGACUCCUACGGGAGGCAGCAGUGGGGAAUAUUGCACAAUGGGCGCAAGCCUGAUGCAGCCAUGCCGCGUGUGUGAAGAAGGCCUUCGGGUUGUAAAGCACUUUCAGCGAGGAGGAAGGUGGUGAGCUUAAUACGCUCAUCAAUUGACGUUACUCGCAGAAGAAGCACCGGCUAACUCCGUGCCAGCAGCCGCGGUAAUACGGAGGGUGCAAGCGUUAAUCGGAAUUACUGGGCGUAAAGCGCACGCAGGCG
Molecule: ribosomal RNA, 560 nt
Filed under: uncultured Enterobacteriaceae bacterium
Lineage: Bacteria; Pseudomonadati; Pseudomonadota; Gammaproteobacteria; Enterobacterales; Enterobacteriaceae
Description: bacterial SSU rRNA
Rfam family: Bacterial small subunit ribosomal RNA
Source: RNAcentral